GGAUUGAACGCUGGCGGCAUGCCUUACACAUGCAAGUCGAACGGCAGCACGGGAGCAAUCCUGGUGGCGAGUGGCGAACGGGUGAGUAAUACAUCGGAACGUGCCCAGUUGUGGGGGGAUAGCCCGGCGAAAGCCGGAUUAAUACCGCAUACGACCUACGGGUGAAAGCGGGGGAUCGCAAGACCUCGCGCUAUUGGAGCGGCCGAUGUCGGAUUAGCUUGUUGGUAGGGUAAAAGCCUACCAAGGCUACGAUCCGUAGCUGGUCUGAGAGGACGACCAGCCACACUGGGACUGAGACACGGCCCAGACUCCUACGGGAGGCAGCAGUGGGGAAUUUGGACAAUGGGACGAAAGCCUGAUCCAGCCAUGCGCGUGCGGAAGAAGGCCUUCGGUUGUAACCGCUUUGUCAGGAAGAAACGGUUACGAGACUAAUAUACGUACGACUAAGUGACGGUAACCUAGAAGAAUAAGCAACCG
This 477-nucleotide ribosomal RNA is filed under the name uncultured soil bacterium. RNAcentral describes it as "bacterial SSU rRNA". It matches the Rfam family "Bacterial small subunit ribosomal RNA", at positions 27 to 496 of the family's 1533-position model. The record is from RNAcentral.